CCGGAAUCAAAUUGAAAACAUGGCGAUGAGACCAAGAAAUGGCCGCUCUAGCUAAUGUGUGAGCAACCAUGUUCGUUUAUCGCUUUAUAAGCUUCACCUCAAAGCCGGAAUUUAAAAACAACAUACAUUUAAUCUUAUGAACGAUAGAGCUAAAUUCAGACACACCGGUACUUCUAUGCCGGAUUGCAGUCACUAUGUUUUGAGCAUCUGUUUCAAAUAUAACAUUAUGAAAUCCUCUUUGAUGUAGUUCCAUCAUUGCUUCUAGCAUUGCUAUUGCUUCUCUUUGAUGUAGUUCCAAGAACUACCUCCCAAUACAAAGUGCCCUCUAUGGUCUCUAACACACCAUCCUGCAGUCGUUCUCCUUGCAUCAUUGUAAAAGCCCGCAUCAACGUUGCAUUUGUAUUUUCCUUGAGUUGGAGUCUGUCAAGACAGUAGCUCUUGUUGUUCG
Molecule: long non-coding RNA, 448 nt
Filed under: Trifolium pratense (red clover)
Lineage: Eukaryota; Viridiplantae; Streptophyta; Magnoliopsida; Fabales; Fabaceae
Description: long non-coding RNA (TPRA_LNC009716)
Source: RNAcentral